RNAcentral lists this long non-coding RNA (595 nucleotides) under Amborella trichopoda. RNAcentral's name for it is "long non-coding RNA (ATRI_LNC004406)". Lineage: Eukaryota; Viridiplantae; Streptophyta; Magnoliopsida; Amborellales; Amborellaceae. The record is from RNAcentral.
UUUGUCAUUUUACAUGGCUGAAACUUGCCAAAAAUAUUGUUCAUGUUAGGGGUGAGAGGAGAGAUCCUGAAAUCCUGCCUUUUCCUUUUGGUACAAAGAGUCAUCUACCUCACCCAACCAUUGAAAGUGACCUAGGAGAAUUUGAACCUCAGAGAGAGAGAGAGAGAGACCCAACCAUUGAAAGUGACCUAGGAGAAUUUGAACCUCAGAGAGAGAGAGAGAGAGAACUCUCUUUUUGUGAAUUUCAUGGCUGAUAUUUACCAAGAGAAAUUGGACAUUACAUAGAGAGAGAGAGUUAUCUUUCACACCACAGAGAGAGAGUUUGUAAUUUAGAGAGAGAGAGAGUUCUCUUUCACACUACAGAGAGAGAGUUCUCUUUCACACUACAGAGAGAGAGUUCUCUUUCACACUACAGAAAGAGACAGUUUUGUAAUUUAGAGAGAGAGUUCUCCUCUUUCUGGAAAUUUUAUGGCUGGCAUAUACCUAGAGAACUUGGGCAAGAGAGAGAUUGUAAUGUGAAGAGCUGAAUUUAUAAUUUAUUUGGCUGAUACUUUCUAAAAAAAGUUGCAUAUUAACAUAGAGAGAGAGAAAGAGG